AACACGUAGGCAACCUACCCCUGAGCGGGGGACAACCCAGGGAAACUUGGGCUAAUACCGCAUAAGACCACGAACUGGGAUGUUGGUGGUAAAAGGAGCGAUCCACUUGGGGAUGGGCCUGCGGCCUAUCAGGUAGUUGGUGGGGUAACGGCCCACCAAGCCGGAGACGGGUAGCCGGUCUGAGAGGACGAACGGCCACACUGGUACUGCGACACGGUCCAGACUCCUACGGGAGGCAGCAGUGGGGAAUUUUGCACAAUGGGCGAAAGCCUGAUGCAGCGACGCCGCGUGGAGGACGAAGGCCUUCGGGUUGUAAACUCCUUUUGUAGGGGAAGAUAAUGACGGUACCCUACGAAUAAGCCACGGCUAACUCUGUGCCAGCAGCCGCGGUAAGACAGAGGUGGCAAGCGUUGUUCGGAAUUACUGGGCUUAAAGGGCGCGUAGGCGGUGAUGUAAGUCUGGGGUGGAAUCCCGCAGCUUAACUGCGGGACUGCCUUGGAAACUGCAUGGCUUGAGUCGAGCAGGGAAAGGCGGAAUUCCUGGUGUAGCGGUGAAAUGCGUAGAUAUCAGGAGGAAGGCCUGU
Molecule: ribosomal RNA, 583 nt
Filed under: uncultured bacterium
Lineage: Bacteria
Description: bacterial SSU rRNA
Rfam family: Bacterial small subunit ribosomal RNA
Source: RNAcentral